Molecule: ribosomal RNA, 430 nt
Filed under: Acidobacteriota bacterium
Lineage: Bacteria; Pseudomonadati; Acidobacteriota
Description: Acidobacteria bacterium partial 16S ribosomal RNA
Rfam family: Bacterial small subunit ribosomal RNA
Source: RNAcentral
UAGGGAAUCUUCCGCAAUGGACGAAAGUCUGACGGAGCGACGCCGCGUGAGCGAAGAAGGUCUUCGGAUCGUAAAGCUCUGUUGUUAGGGAAGAAGAAGUGCCGUUCGAACAGGGCGGCGCGGUGACGGUACCUAACGAGAAAGCCCCGGCUAACUACGUGCCAGCAGCCGCGGUAAUACGUAGGGGGCGAGCGUUGUCCGGAAUUAUUGGGCGUAAAGCGCGCGCAGGCGGUCCCUUAAGUCUGAUGUGAAAGCCCACGGCUUAACCGUGGAGGGUCAUUGGGAACUGGGGGACUUGAGUGCAGAAGAGGAGAGCGGAAUUCCACGUGUAGCGGUGAAAUGCGUAGAGAUGUGGAGGAACACCAGUGGCGAAGGCGGCUCUCUGGUCUGUAACUGACGCUGAGGCGCGAAAGCGUGGGGAGCAAACAGG